GUAAAAAAGGUAACGAAUUCUAUCAUCAUCCUCUUGGUGCUGUUCAUCCACCAACAGCUACUCUUCUUCUGGAUUGUUUAAACCACCAACACACACCCCAUUCUUUAUUCACCCGAAUCCCUAAUCUUCUCCCAAAGUCUUUCGCUCUGUCUUACACGCACUCACUCCCUCUCCCCAUUCGAACCUCUCUCUCAUCUCUUCUCUGCUGCUUCUGUGCUCUCUUCUCACCCAGUCUCGGGAUAAGCAUAGUUGGGCUUUCAACUGCAGAGAUAACUAGCUGUCUCACUGAGUAUUUCACUAAUCACUCCCCAUAGACAGGUUAUGAAUAUGCGUCAGUGUCACAGUUGGAUGUACGAUAGACUUAAACCAGGUCGAAAGGGUUUAACCAGUGAAUUUACAAAAGGGGUGGAAGGAUUUAUUUCCUUUGCUGAGAGAUCAGCAGAUUUUUCAAAUGGACAUAUUAGAUGUCCUUGUUCUAUGUGUAAAAACAAGGUCUAUAUGCACCCUGAAGAUGUAAGAGUCCAUCUUUAUAGAAAAGGAUUUGGUCCUGACAUUGGUAUUGGACAAGUCACGGAGAAAAUAACUCAACCUUAUGUGAAACCCCUAGCAUGGAAGUAAGGAGUAGUGCACACCUCAAUAGGAUGGAGGACCUAGUUUAUGAAGCUUCUACUGGAUUCAAGUCUGAAGGACAUCGUGAUUCCGAGGACGAGGAGUCUCCAAAUGUUGAUGCUAAAAGUUUCUAUGACUUGUUGCGUGCAUCAAAAAAGCCUUUAUGGCCGGGAUGCGACAAUCACAUUGAACUUUCCUUAGCUGUUAGAUUAAUGAAAAUUAAGUCUGAAGGAAAUAUUACUCAGCGAUCUAUUGUAAUCCCAAAAAACUCCAAAACUGCACAAGGCAACUUAAAUCAAGCAUCUGAUUGUGGCGGGUUUGGAGUGUCUCUUCACACUAGUGGCUCAGUUACCGUUCCAAAACACAAAGCUAAACUGUCAAAGUCGUUAAAAAGGCCUUCAACCCCGUUAGAGUUGUUUGAGUGCACCCACAAAAUGUUAUUGAUCACGGUAUAGAAGAGGCUAUCCAAACGCCUUCUGAAGAAGGAAGUAAUGCACCAAAUGAGGUGGAUGUGUGGUGUGAUACAACUGGAAUUAAAAAGAGAAGAAUUUAUGAAUUUGGAAUAGAGUCUACUGCAAUUGAUAAAAUACCUAGUUGUCAUGGCUCUAGUUCUCAAUCAUCUAAAUGGUUACGAAGGUCGGAACUUGAAGAAAUAUUUAAGAAAUUCCAUGAGGAGAACAAAGUCUUGAGAACUAGGUUGGAAAAAAUAGAAAAAGGACUUGAACUCAAUAACCAGUUGCUGCAACAUAUGAUAAAAAUAACUGAAUUUUGAAAUUCCAAACCUUCAACUGAAGGGUGAAGAAACAAAUGCAAUACAGGAUGAUGGUGGUGAACAAUCUCCCUAAGAGAUGAUGAUUUUGUAUUUCAUAACUAGUAACUAGUUAUGUAAGCAUUAUUCUUGCUUAUUCAUUACGUAGAUAUUAUGAAUAUUAUUUGGUAUUUAUAUGAAAAAUGGACAUAUCUUUGAUUAAUUCAACAUUCAAAUGGUUGACUUGUUGAGUAUGCUCAUUAAUGUUUUGAAGCCAAAACUUCCCAUUUUUGCAUGAAUUCUCUCUUCGGAGGUCCUUUGUGCGGGUGACUUCCAAUUCCGAAAUGAUGGAAUCAUGACUUGUAAGUUUUGAGGUAAGCUUGGUUUUGGUAGCUUAAAAUCACGUUCUGAGGUUACAAACUAUA
Molecule: long non-coding RNA, 1782 nt
Organism: Arachis duranensis
Lineage: Eukaryota; Viridiplantae; Streptophyta; Magnoliopsida; Fabales; Fabaceae
Exons: 5
Source: RefSeq, a predicted model, not a curated record